Molecule: unclassified non-coding RNA, 164 nt
Filed under: soil metagenome
Description: partial internal transcribed spacer 1
Source: RNAcentral
CCGAGUUAUACAACUCAUCAACCCUGCGAACAUACCUAAAACGUUGCUUUCGGCGGGAAACAGACGGCCCCUGUAAGCAACGGGCCGCCCCCCGGGCCAGAGGACCCCUAAACUCUGUUUUUUAUAAUGUUUUUUCUGAGUAAAAGUAAACAAGCAAAUAAAUU